GAUGAAGAACGUAGCGAAAUGCGAUAAGUAAUGUGAAUUGCAGAAUUCAGUGAAUCAUCGAAUCUUUGAACGCACAUUGCGCCCGCCAGCACUCUGGCGGGCAUGCCUGUUCGAGCGUCAUUUCGACCAUCAGGCCCUCCGGGCUUGUGUUGGGGCUCCCUGCGGCUGUCCGCAGGCCCUGAAAACCAGUGGCGAGCUUGCAAAGUCACACCGAGCGCAGUAGAUUUUUUUCAUCUCGCUCAGGGCGUGCGUGCGGGCGCCGGCCGUAAAAGACGAGAGCGCGGCCUCGGCCGCCCACAAAUACCACAAGGUUGACCUCGGAUCAGGUAGGAAUACCCGCUGAACUUAAGCUUAUCAAUAAGCGGAGGA
Molecule: unclassified non-coding RNA, 369 nt
Filed under: soil metagenome
Description: partial contains 5.8S ribosomal RNA, internal transcribed spacer 2, and large subunit ribosomal RNA
Rfam family: 5.8S ribosomal RNA (bases 1-120)
Source: RNAcentral